GACAGAGGUGCCGAGCGUUAGGCGGAAUCACUGGGCUUAAAGCGUGUGUAGGCGGAUCGUUAAGUACCUUGUGAAAUCCCCCCGGCUCAACCGGGGAACUGCUGGGUAUACUGGCGAUCUUGAGCGAUCUAGGGGCAGAUGGAACAAGUGGUGGAGCGGUGAAAUGCGUAGAUAUCACUUGGAACGCCAAAGGUGAAAACAGUCUGCUGGGGAUCUGCUGACGCUGAGGCGCGAAAGCCAGGGGAGCAAACGGG
Molecule: ribosomal RNA, 254 nt
Filed under: uncultured bacterium
Lineage: Bacteria
Description: partial 16S ribosomal RNA
Rfam family: Bacterial small subunit ribosomal RNA
Source: RNAcentral